This 322-nucleotide ribosomal RNA is filed under the name uncultured eukaryote. Its description in RNAcentral is "partial 18S ribosomal RNA". It matches the Rfam family "Eukaryotic small subunit ribosomal RNA", at positions 1470 to 1796 of the family's 1831-position model. The record is from RNAcentral.
CCCUUAGAUGUUCUGGGCCGCACGCGUGCUACACUGAGUGGAUCAGCGGGUCAGGUUGCGCGAAAGUGUUUCCUAAUCUUUAAAUCCGCUCGUGAUGGGGAUUGACGGUUGCAAUUUUCCGUCAUGAACGAGGAAUACCUUGUAAGCGCGGGUCAUCAUCCCGCGCUGAAUACGUCCCUGCCUUUUGUACACACCGCCCGUCGCUCCUACCGAUUGAGUGGUCCGGUGAGGCUUUGGGAUCUGAGCGGAAAGAGCGUUUCGCUGUUUCUGCCCGGAAAACUCAGUCGAACCUUAUCAUUUAGAGGAAGGAGAAGUCGUAACA